RNAcentral lists this ribosomal RNA (256 nucleotides) under uncultured bacterium. RNAcentral describes it as "partial 16S ribosomal RNA". It matches the Rfam family "Bacterial small subunit ribosomal RNA", at positions 98 to 354 of the family's 1533-position model. The record is from RNAcentral.
CGGGACGGGUGAGUAACGCGUGGAUAACCUGCCGUAUGCAGGGGGAUACCAACUGGAAACAGUUGCUAAUACCGCAUAAGCGCACAGCACCGCAUGGUGCAGUGUGAAAAGAUUUAUCGGCAUACGAUGGAUCCGCGUCCGAUUAGCCAGUUGGCGGGGUAGAAGCCCACCAAAGCGACGAUCGGUAGCCGGCCUGAGAGGGCGGACGGCCACAUUGGGACUGAGACACGGCCCAAACUCCUACGGGAGGCAGCAG